GAAGCUUUCCCGGUGAAUAGUUUCCAAUAGCUUAUGUUCUAAUUAAUUGAUUCUCUCCCGUCUUUAUCACCAAAAACACUACUGCCUUGCCUUCGAAAUCUCGUCUCAUACUCCAGUUUACCUGAUUGUGAAGAAAGAUGACAAAGAGCUGCUUCAAGCUAGAGCAUGAUUUUUUUUUAGGUGAUUUUAUCUUAGUUUUUCCUAUCCCUAAUUGUUUUUUUAUUGGUUUUUAUGUUUCUGAUUGAAAAUAAUAUCGUGUCUGCAGAGGAGAGGCGCGCUGAGGCUGCAAGAAUUAGGGAGAAAUACCCAGGUAGAAUUCCGGUAAUUGUGGAGAAGGCUGAGAGAAGUGACAUCCCCAAAAUUGACAAGAAAAAGUAAGACUCAAUUUCAUGCUGCAAAUUUUUCCCCAUCAAUUUCUUGUAUUUACCAUGAAUUUGUUUUGAAUCUUCAUUUGAUGGAUAUUAGACUUGAAAUGCAUGAUGAUAUGUCUUCAUUUUGACAUUGGUUUAAAAUUUUAAGAUGACCUGACUGUGGGUCAGUUUGUGUAUGUAAUCCGGAAGAGAAUUAAACUGAGUGCAGAAAAGGCAAUCUUCAUAUUUGUGGACAAUGUCCUUCCACCAACAGGGGCAGUAAUGUCUACAAUAUAUGAUGAAAAGGAGGAUGCAGAUGGAUUUCUGUAUGUCGCAUACAGUGGCGAGAACACAUUUGGGAGCAGAUGCUGCCGUAGCUCAAGUACUUUUAGCGCAUUCCAUUCUUUGUGAUGCGUUCAUGAGUUUCUCAUCUUCAUGAUGACUUGGCAAAAGCUGUGCAAGUCUUUCCAUGCCUUGAACAGUUCUAGUGUCAUAUCUAAUUUCAUUGACCUUGCCUGUCUUUCAUGUGCAGUUAUAUUUUGUAUAUAUUCUUUUACGGUUCAAUCAACAAAAUAUUCCCUAUCAGGGAGUGCUAGUGGCAGUGCAUAAGCAUCUUGAGGACUUCAGGGAGGCCAACUCCAUCGAGCGAUUGAAUGUUGUGCCUAGCAUAAUUCAAAUAGGAAGAUGGUUACCAGCUCCCCAGUCUAUAAUUAAACUAAAUGUUGAUGCUGAAGUUGAUAGAAAUAGGAAUGGGUGCUAUUGAUGUGGUUGGACGAGAUCCUUAUGGUAAAAUACUGGACUGGUGCUGCUGUCUGUGGCCAUCCAUUGAAGAUCCUUUGCUGUUGGAAAGCUGAGCAUGCCGUGAAGCUCUCAUCUUUGCAAGAAGUAGGGGGUUUUCGAAAGUAAUUUGUAAAAGGCGAUUCAGUCAUAGUUUACUCAUAUAGGGGCCAUCCAAUUCCUAUUGCUAUCCAGGAGACCGUAGCAGAUGGUUUGGAGCUUUUGAAGCGGCUGCAGGAGGUUCAUUUUUCUGCAGUCAAAUGUCGAUGUAACCAAGCAUCCAUAUUGCAUAGAUGGACUUUGUUCUUAACUUCCUACCACCUUGAUGGUGGAGUUCUUGAAUGAAUCCUUUAUCUUUGAAAAAAAAAAAAAAAGAGAGACUAA
Long non-coding RNA from Hevea brasiliensis (rubber tree), 1511 nucleotides. RefSeq lists it as uncharacterized. Lineage: Eukaryota; Viridiplantae; Streptophyta; Magnoliopsida; Malpighiales; Euphorbiaceae. The record is from RefSeq and is a predicted model, not a curated record. The transcript is spliced from 4 exons.